Long non-coding RNA from Oncorhynchus tshawytscha (Chinook salmon), 3049 nucleotides. The record is from Ensembl. NCBI's taxonomy places the organism in Eukaryota, Metazoa, Chordata, Actinopteri, Salmoniformes, Salmonidae.
UAUCAAUGUAAGUAUGUAAAAUAUUUAUUUAGAAACAAAUAACAAAAUAAAUCAACAUAAAGAAAUAACACUAGGCACAAAAAAGAUAUACAUCAAUGCACCAGGUUACUAAUGACUCACGUUCCCUGACAGUGUUGAUUGUUUUUGUCUGCCACACGCUCAGUUGUCUGUCACAAAUGUGAAUCUAUAACUACGAAGAAGUAUAAAAGUUUAAUACUAAAAUACAGAACCAGAAUACAAAAAGGUCUAACUACUGCAAUGCAACAUUGGUUAAGCUGUCUCAGUAUCUUGAACCAUUACAAUCCUGUUCAUCCUGUGUCAACAAAAGGAAUCGGUUUGAAUUCCAGCAAAAUAACUAUUGAGAAUGAAACUAUUGAUAAGAUAUGAGAAUGUAGAAGGUAAGAGUCAAGAAGUGAAAUUAUGUAGCCUACAAAUUCAAAUAAACUGCAGUACAUUUGGCAUAGUCCAAAUUCUGUGAUCCAUGCAAACAAUAAACAUGAGGUUUGCAUAAAAUAUUGUUAACCCCAAACUUUUUUUAAAAGUCUGAAAUGACAGUGACAAGAAAAUAGCCAUCCAAUUGGCCACAAAACUUCAUUUAAUGUUUUUUAAUGACAAAGUCUUGCAAUGUUGACCGUGAGGCCUGAGGUAGAGGAGGAUACUGUCAGAUAUAUUGGCUCAGUCAUUUAAGAAUAUAAACAAUAACUACGAUAAAAAAUAACCAUAUUAUGAACUGCCCAACCUUACCACAAUAAGGUCAAAUUCUGCAUUCGAAAAUAACAAUUUUGUUAUGAAAAAGGUUAUCAUAAACAAAACAAAAUGAAAUUCUACACAGACUAUAUUUCCAUGGGAAACAAGUUACAAGAAUCAGAUUGUCAACAGUCCUCACUCCACUCCUCCAUUCCUUAACUGGAGGCAAUACAAACUAGUCUUGGGAUAGCCGCUUGAAUUUCCUCUGAAACUCCUGGAAGGCAGUGGAGGAAGACUUGGGGAUUUUAGUGGGCGAAGAGGUGAGAGGACAAUAUCUCUUCUGAGGGCCAGCAGACCAUAAACCUACUGGGAGUGUAAUAGUUCAAUUGUUACAAUAAAUAAAACACCUCACAUUUGACAGAAAGGAAUAAAGAGAGAUCGGGAACUGCAUAGAUACACUACCGUUCAAAAGUUGGGGGUCACUUAUAAAUGUCCUUGUUUUUGAAAGAAAAGCACAUUUUGAGCAUUAAAAUAACAUCAAAUUGAUCAGAAAUACAGUGUAGACAUUGUUAAUGUUGUAAAUAACUAUUGUAGCUGGAAACUGAUUUUCAAUGGAUUUUUUACAUAGGUGUACAGAGGCCCAUUAUGUGCAACCAUCACGCACGCCUGUGUUCCAAUGGCACAUUGUGUUAGCUAAUCCAAGUUUAUCAUUUAAAAAAGGCUAAUUGAUCAUUAGAAAACCCUUUUGCAAUUAUGUUAGUACAGCUGAAAACUGUUGUGCUGAUUAAAGAUGCAAUUAAACUGGCCAUCUUUAGACUAGUUGAGUAUCUGGAGCAUCAGCAUUUGUGGGUUCGAUUAAAUCAAAUCAAAUUUAUUUAUAUAGCCCUUCGUACAUCAGCUGAUAUCUCAAAGUGCUGUACAGAAACCCAGCCUAAAACCCCAAACAGCAAGCAAUGCAGGUGUAGAAGCACGGAAUACAGGCUCAAAAUGGCCAGAAACAAAGGAUUUUCUUCGGAAACUCGUCAGUCUAUUCUUGUUCUGAGAAAUCAAGGCUAUUCCAUGCGAGAAAUUGCCAAGAAACUGAAGAUCUGGAACAAGGCUGUGUACUACUCUCUUCACCGAGAUACCCAAACUGGCUCUAACCAGAAUAGAAAGAGGAGUGGGUGGCCAGGUGCACAACUGAGCAAGUGGACAAGAACAUUAGUGUCUAGUUUGAGAAAAAGAUGCCUCACAAGUCGUCAACUGGCAGCUUCAUUAAAUAAUACCCACAAAACACCUGACUCAUAAGUCAACAGUGAAGAGGCGACUCCUGGAUGCUGGCCUUCUAGGCAGAGUUCCUCUGUCCAAUGUCUGUGUUCUUUUGCCCAUCUUAAUCUUUUAUUGGCCAGUCUGAGGUAUGUUUUUUUAAAUUUGCAACUCUGCCUAGAAGGCCAGCAUCCCAGGAUUGCUUCUUCACUGUUGACGUUGAGACUGGUGUUUUGCGGGUACUAUUUAACUUCUUGGUGACAGGAGGGCAGUAUUGAGUAGCUUGGAUGAAUAAGGUGCACAGAGAAAACUGCCUGCUACUCAGUCCCAGAUGCUAAUAUAGUAGUAUUGGAUAGAAAUAUAAUAUUAGUAGUUUGGAUAGAAAACACUCUGAAGUUUCUAAAACUGUUUGAAUCAUGUCUGGGAGUAUAACUUAACUUAUUUAGCAGGCGAAACCCAGAGGAAAAACCAUUCAGAUUUGUUUAGAUUUUUUGGGGUCACUCCCUUUUCAAUGGAUUUUCAUUGGGAAUCCAGAUUUCUAAGGGACCUUCUUGCAGUUCCUAUUGCUUCCACUGGAUGUCAACAGUAUUUAGAAAUUGGUUGAGGUUAUUCUUUUGUGAAAUGAAGAAGUACGGCCAUCUUGAACGAGGGUCACUUGAAGUGUACUGUUAGAUAGGAGGCACGUGACCAGAAAGCUAGCUAAAGUUUGUUUUACUGCCGGUAUUUUAUCGAUUAUUUACGUAAAAAAAUACCUAAAGUUGUAUUACAAAAGUAGUUUGAAAUGUUUUGGCAAAGUUUACAGGUAACUUUUGAGAUAUUUUGUAGUCACGUUGCGCAAGUUGGAACCGGUGUUUUUCUGGAUCAAACGCGCCAAAUAAAUUGACAUUUUGGAUAUAUAUCAAUGGAGUUAAUGGAACAAAAGGACCAUUUGUGAUGUUUAUGGGACAUUUUUUAUUUAAAAAAAUGUAUUUUACCUUUAUUUGACUAGGCAAGUCAGUUAAGAACAAAUUCUUAUUUUCAAUGACGGCCUAGGAACAGUGGGUUAACUGCCUGUUCAGGGGCAGAACGACAGAUUUGUACCUUGUCAGCUCGGGGGUUUGAACUUGCAACCUUCCGG